UUGACAGCCCUGAAGAGAAAAGUGCUGUUUCUCUCCUCAGGGAGCAGCAUGAGAAACUUUCUCCACACUGUCCUGACUGUGUGCCUCAAUCCAGACCUGGAGGGACCACCUAAGGUGCAGGAACAGGAGAGGUCAAUCCCCUGCUCUGUCCUGCUGCCACG
RNAcentral lists this small RNA (161 nucleotides) under Gopherus agassizii (Agassiz's desert tortoise). RNAcentral describes it as "TUC338 (ENSGAGG00000006818.1)". The record is from RNAcentral. Lineage: Eukaryota; Metazoa; Chordata; Testudines; Testudinidae.